Molecule: long non-coding RNA, 3609 nt
Filed under: Nicotiana benthamiana
Lineage: Eukaryota; Viridiplantae; Streptophyta; Magnoliopsida; Solanales; Solanaceae
Description: long non-coding RNA (NBEN_LNC032752)
Source: RNAcentral
GUAAAAUCUGGCUUUCUUCCCUCGUUGCUCCCGUCUCUCUCUGCUUCUUCUUCUUCCUCUCUCUUCCCUACUUCUACCUUUUCUGGAUCUUGAAACCCGCCCUCAAUCUCUCCAAAACGCAUGAAAAUUUCCAUAUAAUCUUUUGAUCCCUGUGUUUCAUCAACACAUUCCGUCCAAAUUUACUCUUUUAUACCCGUGUUGUUCCAUUGAUCUAACGCUUCUGAUUUGAUCACAUCUUGAGAGAUUGUUAAAAGGGAAAGAUCCUUUCAUCAUAUAAAGAAGUGGGUAUGUCUCAAAAAUUUUUCUUGUUUUUAUCAAUAUUACAUUUUUUUGGUAGUUUCCUGAUGCUGGUUUGCUUUAAAGUUUCUGACAUUUAUAAUCUUGUUAUAAAAUCUCUAGUAUUUUCCUGAUGAAAAGAUUGAAACUGUUUUCUCUUGUUAGAUUUGUGUUGCAUAGAAAUGAAAAUAAGGGGUUGAUUUGAGAGCAUUCUUGAUAAUGGGGUGGUUAAUUGCACUUUUAGUCUAGGUGCACCCAAACUGGCCGAACAGUUAUACAGAAAUUUGCAGUGUAGCAUGUGUCUUUUUCUAGCUUUAAUGGGUAAAAUGCCAAACAAUAAUGUCAUGGUGCAUAUACUUGUUUCACUUAAAAUAAUGUUAGUACUAAAUACUGUUUUUUGUAUGUCAGAAAUACUGUUUACUUUUGUUAUUUCUUGUGGUGUCAUUUAGAAUGUUGAGUCUUUAUAAUGGCCAUGAGUUAGGAUAUGUUUACUAACACAUUAUUAUGGUGACUUUGUAAAAGUCUUCUUGCUAAAGUCUUUGUUUAGCUGACCUCACUAACUUUGGUGUGAAUGUUUAUGCAAGUGCACCCUAUUAUUGAAGUUAUUUACUUUGUAGGUCCCAUAUAGGAAGUCAUUUUACAUGUUAAUGUUUGAUCUUUUUGACUAGCGCCUCAUUGUAUAGUCUAGCAGUCAAUGAAGUUAGAAUAGACCAUAGGAGAUCUAGGUUCAAAUUCCGGCUGAGAUAAAAAAAAUGCUAGGUGAUUUCUUCCUAUCUGUCGAAGCUUUGGUAGACAGAGUUACCCUGUACUGAAUUGGUACGAAGAUAGCAGGUGCCUGGUGAAUUAGUCAGAGUUGUGCGGAGGCUGACCUGGAUAAAAAAGAGGUCUUUGUGACCAUCUCAUGUAGUUGACUUUGAUACAACCAUUUAACUUGACUGAUUUUAGUGUUUCUAAUUGAAUACUUUGUUUGAAAUUUUCUCUUCUCAUAAAUUGAUUUUGCCUUUUGACUAUCAGGUCACCUGAGUGCCCCUCAAAUCUGUUACCUUUAUUGAGUGUAGUAAAUAGGGAUGCAUAACAUUGUAGAGAGCCUCAUUUCCCCAGGUCAAUUUCCUUUCCUAGUCAUACUAAUUUGCAUGUGGAUGGUGGUUGUUUCCUAUUAAUGGAUGCUGGGGUCCUAUGAGGGUGUAUUUUGUGGAUGAGGUGUAUGUAGUUACCGUGAAUUAGAUAUUUAAUACUAUUUGCUAGCCGUAUUGUGAACUAGUACUCUACCUUCUGAAGGUUUUAUUUGCAUAUUUGUUGACUUUAUUAAGCUUUAUCUGACAUAGAAUCUACAUAAGGGCAAUCUACAUUUAGAGACCAGGUUUUGGUACUAAGUCACUUUCUUCUGGGAGAUAAAACUCCUAAUUGUCUUUUAGGCUUUUGUGGGGACGUUGAGAAGUGGGACACAAGUGGUUGGUUUUCUCUUUUUUAUGUUAGCUCUGGCAGUUUUAUGCAUGACCAAAGAUGGUCAACUUUUUCCAAUGAUAGCAAGCUUGCUAUAUUGGAACUUAAACUCCAGAUCAUUUCCGGCGUGAGAAAAAGAAGACAAACUACAAUGUCACUGUACAAUACUUGUCACAAGAGAAAUAACACUAUGCAAUACUGCGAUUUAGUAUUUAAUCAUCAGUCAUGGUGACAGGUCAAAUUUUGGCAACAUAUUACUUUUAUGGGCAAAUAUUCUUGAUUUUUCAUAGGAAGAUGGUUAGAUUGUAUAGCAGUGAAAAUUGAGUAUUUUGUUCACUUGAACUUUUGGGCGUUCCCUAUGUUUCUGUGGUGUCAUCGGAUACAUGUAUUUUGUUUAAAAAAAUCCUUCCUGCGUGAUAAAUUUUAUCAAUAGUUAGCAUUUUUAUGCCUUUCUACUGAAUACCACAUACUUUGCUUCCCGUUUGAAGUAUUCUUUUCAGUUUUUGAGAGGGAACCCCCUAGUCUUCCCUACAGCUUGAGAACUAGAGUUAAAAGAAAAUAUUAAUCUUUUUCUGUUGGCACUUUUCUUUCUGUGACUUGUGUCUUUCUCACUAGUUUUAUGGUCAUUGUUUACAGUCCCCCCCCNNNNNNNNNNNNUUUUUGGUUUUUUUUUCCCCCCCCCCCCCCCCCCCCACACAUAUAUAUACACACACCCUUUUCCCUUCUCGCUCACACCCUUGUCUCGAAGAAGUGGAAAAAGAUGAAAAGAAAAAAAAUCAAUUCAGACGGUGUAAGGAUUAGUUGCCUUUUGCAUUACAAGGGAGUAAUAUUUUGUGGUGUAACAUUGGUGUGACUUGGUCACUUACAACAACAACAACCCAAUAUAAUCCCACUUAGUGGGGUCUGGGGAGGGUAGUGUGUACGCAGACCUUACCCCUACCCUGGGUAGAGAGACUGUUUCCAAAUAGUCCUUCCCUCCAAGAACUUCCCACCUUUACUCUUGGGGAGACUCGAACUCACAACCUCUCGGUUGGAAGUGGGGGUUGCUUACCAUCAGAGCAACCCCUCUUGUCAGGACUUGGUCACUUAAAUAGAAUUAAUUGAAUUCUUUGGAGAUAGCAAUUUUGGCUUUCUUAUAUCAUGUCACCAACCACAAGUGAGUGUUUUACCAGCACAAUUUUGCCUCAAGUCUUAUAGCAGUACUUCCUUCCAUUUUUCUUCAAGGUUUGCGCUUAAAGAGUCUGCAACAAGAAGCAGGGGAAGCGGGAGGUGGCAAGGAUGGGGCAUUAGACGAGCAACAGCUAAUUGGUCGUGUAUAAUUUCCUUUCCUUACCUAUUAUAAAUAGACUGUAUCCUAUUGAAGAAUCUUGUAGAAGAAUGCCACUUUGUUUUAUGGGAAAGCAAAGUUUAGACUGGAUUCUUUGCUGAAGUUUUAAGUUUCUGUCUUUUUCUUUUUAUGCAGGUAUCUAAAAGCUGUCCCUUUUAGGAGGACUGAAUAAAAUAGGAAAGAGUUACCCAGCAGUGAAGUGGCUGGAAGAAGUUGUAGUACAGGGUUAAUAGAAAGUUCCUAUGUUAAAUUACCUUGUCAUUCUUCGCCUUCAUAUACAACUACUAUAUUGAGAUUCCUUUCUUCUCUUUAACCAGUUCCUAAGCUGAAGCCUCGUCUUACAUAUUCCUGCAUUCCCUUACAAGUUUUCCUGACGGCCUUCUGCCUAUUUGUGCUUUAAAUUCAUUACUUUUGGUGUUUAUAAGCAACUAUGGUGUUCUAGCUGCCAUUUUACUCAAAGAUAAGUUUUCCUGACAGCCUUCUGCCUAUUUGUGCGUUAAAUUUAUUACUUUUGGUGUUUAUAAGCAACUAUGGUGUUCUAGCUGCCAUUUUACUCAAAGAAG